AUUGAACGCUGGCGGCAUGCCUUACACAUGCAAGUCGAACGGCAGCACGGGUGCUUGCACCUGGUGGCGAGUGGCGAACGGGUGAGUAAUACAUCGGAACAUGUCCUGUAGUGGGGGAUAGCCCGGCGAAAGCCGGAUUAAUACCGCAUACGAUCUACGGAUGAAAGCGGGGGACCUUCGGGCCUCGCGCUAUAGGGUUGGCCGAUGGCUGAUUAGCUAGUUGGUGGGGUAAAGGCCUACCAAGGCGACGAUCAGUAGCUGGUCUGAGAGGACGACCAGCCACACUGGGACUGAGACACGGCCCAGACUCCUACGGGAGGCAGCAGUGGGGAAUUUUGGACAAUGGGCGAAAGCCUGAUCCAGGAAUGCCGCGUGUGUGAAGAAGGCCUUCGGGUUGUAAAGCACUUUUGUCCGGAAAGAAAUCCUUGGCCCUAAUACGGUCGGGGGAUGACGGUACCGGAAGAAUAAGCACCGGCUAACUACGUG
RNAcentral lists this ribosomal RNA (486 nucleotides) under uncultured bacterium. RNAcentral describes it as "partial 16S ribosomal RNA". It matches the Rfam family "Bacterial small subunit ribosomal RNA", at positions 30 to 507 of the family's 1533-position model. The record is from RNAcentral.